AUGAACAUACUGGAGUACAUCAAGCCUGACAAAUUUCCAAACAAGUAUAUCCUCAAACGGCACACAAAGACUGCAAGAUCACAACCAACCUUUGAUACAAGGGACUACAACACAACCGCAUCGGAUGGCAGCUCAAGGCUAUCGAAGCAAGACAUCUUGCUGCAGCUGAAUUUGAUGGUUAACAAGAAAGCGAUGAGAUGUGACCAGCAAUAUGACAGAGCCUACUAUGUUCUCAAGAGGCUUGUGGAAGAGCUUGAUGCAAUACAUUCAGCAAAUCAAGCGGAUGCUGACGAAAGGAUGGCUGAAGAGGACGCUGAAAUUGAAGAUGACCUUCAUUAUUAUGCAGCUGAAAUGCUCAAUGCCGCCGCUGAAGCCAACCAAUGCAAGCAGGGUGAUGGCCAAUCAAUGGAGCAGCGGCAGCAAGAGACGAUGAAAUUGCCGUUGUAUUCUGAAACAAAGGGUAGGAAGAAAAUUACUGCAGCAAAGAAAAGUGACAAGAGAGCUCAAAUGAAGGCACCACCUGCAGGAAGAGUCGUCGUGCACGAUGAGGAUGGAGUGCCACUUGGACACAGGAAAUGCUAUGUGUGCAACCAGGUUGCGGGACACAACAAACUGACCUGUCCAACACUAUUGGAAAGAAACAAUGCUGAGGAGAUCAAGCAAACCAAAUCUCAAAAACAGCAGCCCAAAGUUCAGGAACAAAAGAAGGGACCACACCCAAAGAAAGCAAGCAGCAGACUUUGUAGCAUAUGCAAGGAGUAUGAACCACAUAAUGCAAGAACAUGCCCGAAGCGCGCAGAUGCUGAAAAGAUGAGCAAAAUGCCAGAGAAGAAACAGAAAGCAAGACCUAGAUCCAACAACAAGAAAGUGGUGGGAGAUGAAGAGGAAGACGAAGAUGAAGACACCGUCGAAGAAGAGGAAGACGAAGAGGAAGAGGAAGUGGAAUGCGACGAUGAAGAGGAACACAUCGAUGAAGAGGAAGAGGACGAUGAAGAGGAAGAGGAUGAUGAAGAGGAAGAGGUACAUGUCAAGCAAAAACCUCUACCACCAAAGCCUAGGAGGAGCGCAAGGCUCAUGAAUAGUUAG
This 1086-nucleotide ribosomal RNA is filed under the name Triticum aestivum (bread wheat). RNAcentral describes it as "partial small subunit ribosomal RNA". The record is from RNAcentral. Lineage: Eukaryota; Viridiplantae; Streptophyta; Magnoliopsida; Poales; Poaceae.